GUGUGAGAAGGGCAUUCGGUGGAUGCCUUGGCGACAAGAGGCGAUGAAGGACGUGAUACGCUGCGAUAAGCCAUGGGGAGCUGCGAAUAAGCUUUGAUCCGUGGAUUUCCGAAUGGGGAAACCCACUCCGUAUGGAGUACCCGCAAGGGAGCAAACCCGGGGAACUGAAACAUCUAAGUACCCGGAGGAAAGGAAAUCAAUAUGAUACUCCCCUAGUAGCGGCGAGCGAACGGGGACCAGCCAAGCCUUGAGAGUGACCAGAAUGAUCUGGAAAGAUCAGCCAUAGCGGGUGACAGCCCCGUAUGGGAAGCUCGAUGGGAUGUAUUAAGUAGGGCGGGACACGUGAAAUCCUGUCUGAAGAUCGGAGGACCACCUUCGAAGGCUAAGUACUCCUUACUGACCGAUAGCGAACCAGUACCGUGAGGGAAAGGUGAAAAGCACCCCGACGAGGGGAGUGAAACAGUUUCUGAAACCGGACGCCUACAAGCAGUGGGAGGCCCCUUGAGGGCUGACCGCGUACCUUUUGUAUAAUGGGUCAUCGACUUAGUCUGACUAGCAAGCUUAAGCCGUUAGGUGUAGGCGCAGCGAAAGCGAGUCUUAAUAGGGCGA
This 609-nucleotide ribosomal RNA is filed under the name Lingulaulax polyedra. RNAcentral's name for it is "Lingulodinium polyedra partial Bacterial large subunit ribosomal RNA". It matches the Rfam family "Bacterial large subunit ribosomal RNA", at positions 1 to 695 of the family's 2925-position model. The record is from RNAcentral. Lineage: Eukaryota; Dinophyceae; Gonyaulacales; Lingulodiniaceae.